CCUGUGGUCGUGAGCAACCUCAUUAAAGGUGUCGGCCGAGAAAGUACAGACAGGAGAAACUUGUUUUAAGAACGGAGUCAGACUUCAGAUCCUGUUAUUUACCUCACAUGGAAGAAGAGAGAUGGAACUUGUAACUUAAGACUUAAAGGAAUUUUAAAAUCUGGAUCCUUCACCAACAUCUAGAAGUCCCCUUGACAUCGACUGAGCUGUCUUGGGAGCGGGUUUGCGCUCCCCACGUUGGCUUCGUGCAGGUUGACUGAAGCUGCCCUUGACCUGACAUCGACCCUGAUGUCGCUCUUCACGUUCUGAGCAAACUCGGUUUGCAGUCCGGCUUCCCCUGCACGCUUUGUGUUUCCCGGCUACGGCGGUGUCACCAUCCGGUGGGAAAUCCUUUUCAGAAUGGAUCACUUGGCCCAUUACUGAUCAUCGUGUUUGUAAUAAAAAUAUUUAUCCAAGCCGGGCGCAGCAGUUACGGUGUGAAGCCCGGGCGGGCGGCCUCUUCAUGUCUCCACCUGCUCCUCCUCAGAGUUAAGGAUCUGCUAGCCGUUUUCUGCCUAGAGUGCAAUCUCUUACAAUGUUAGGGAAACUUUCUCUGACGGAGUUCCCACUUGUGUUAUCUGAUUUUCUUCCUCGGUAUUUGUAUUUAUGCAUUUGGGUAUGUGAGUUUGGAAGCUUCUAGAAGACAAAUUGGGUGGAUUAAAGGAAUAUUUUUCUUUCAAAAUCAUUUCUGCAAUCUUACUUGGAGUGUGUGUGUGUGUGUGUAUGUGUCAUAUUUUUUCUACUAGGCUAAUUAAGACAGCAAACCUAAGUAGACCACCUACUGCCAGCCCCUGCUAUCAGGUGCUUUCCCUAAGACCAUCUAAUGGUCACUGUUGGGCAGCCCGGGUGGCGCAGUGGUUUAGCGCCGCCUUCAGCCCAGGGCCCGAUCCUGGAGACCCGGGAUCGAGUUGCGCGUCAGGCUCCCUGCAUGGAGCCUGCU
Molecule: long non-coding RNA, 979 nt
Organism: Canis lupus familiaris (dog)
Lineage: Eukaryota; Metazoa; Chordata; Mammalia; Carnivora; Canidae
Exons: 3
Source: RefSeq, a predicted model, not a curated record